Molecule: ribosomal RNA, 254 nt
Filed under: uncultured bacterium
Lineage: Bacteria
Description: partial 16S ribosomal RNA
Rfam family: Bacterial small subunit ribosomal RNA
Source: RNAcentral
UACGUAGGGGGCGAGCGUUGUCCGGAUUUAUUGGGCGUAAAACGCUUGUAGGUGGCUACGUCAAGUCGGACGUGAAAUCUCCCGGCUUAACUGGGAGGGGUCGCUCGAUACUGGCGAGCUCGAGGCAGGUAGGGGGAAGCGGAAUUCCCGGUGUAGUGGUGGAAUGCGUAGAUAUCGGGAGGAACACCAGUGGCGAAGGCGGCUUCCUGGACCUGUUCUGACACUGAGGAGCGAAAGCGUGGGGAGCGAACAGG